CAUGCCUUAACAUACUAAGUUUUUUACUUUUAUUUUCGUUGUAGGCAAACAAAGCAGCGGACGCCGGCGAUUAUGUCUUCGCAGAUUCAAAAGCUAGAACUGCCAGAAAUUGUGUCAUUGCUGCGUUUGUGUUUGGAAUAAUUUGUGUAAUCAUAACUAUUAUAGCAAGAGCUGCCCAGUUAGAGUCAGACAGCAGUCAUGUUCACCAGGGUAACUGAUGACGAAAGUACCAAGUGACAUUUUGUAAAAAGCAGACAGACAUUCCUCUACAGUGGUCUUUAAAUUUAUACAAUUAUAAAUAGUUUAUACUGUUUAACCUCAUAUGUAAAUUAUUAAUACACUUGGUUUAAAUAUUCAACUGAACGCUAAUUCGAGCGUUGUGUAAAGUGCGAUUGCUCGUUUUCGCCUUUUAAUCCGACAUAUAAAAUGGAUUGGACAAUUUUAUUCUGUACAUUAAAUAUUUAAAGAUGUCUUUGUUUU
This 480-nucleotide long non-coding RNA is filed under the name Mytilus galloprovincialis (Mediterranean mussel). Lineage: Eukaryota; Metazoa; Mollusca; Bivalvia; Mytilida; Mytilidae. The record is from RNAcentral.